AGUGAACGCUGGCGGUAGGCCUAACACAUGCAAGUCGAACGGCAGCACAGUAAGAGCUUGCUCUUACGGGUGGCGAGUGGCGGACGGGUGAGGAAUACAUCGGAAUCUACUUUUUCGUGGGGGAUAACGUAGGGAAACUUACGCUAAUACCGCAUACGACCUACGGGUGAAAGCAGGGGAUCUUCGGACCUUGCGCGAUUGAAUGAGCCGAUGUCGGAUUAGCUAGUUGGCGGGGUAAAGGCCCACCAAGGCGACGAUCCGUAGCUGGUCUGAGAGGAUGAUCAGCCACACUGGAACUGAGACACGGUCCAGACUCCUACGGGAGGCAGCAGUGGAGAAUAUUGGACUGGGCGCAAGCCUGAUCCAGCCAUACCGCGUGGGUGAAGAAGGCCUUCGGGUUGUAAAGCCCUUUUGUUGGGAAAGAAAAGCAGCAGGUUAAUACCCCGCUGUUCUGACGGUACCCAAAGAAUAAGCACCGGCUAACUUCGUG
Molecule: ribosomal RNA, 490 nt
Filed under: uncultured bacterium
Lineage: Bacteria
Description: partial 16S ribosomal RNA
Rfam family: Bacterial small subunit ribosomal RNA
Source: RNAcentral